This 407-nucleotide ribosomal RNA is filed under the name Micrococcus sp. oral taxon F54. RNAcentral describes it as "bacterial SSU rRNA". It matches the Rfam family "Bacterial small subunit ribosomal RNA", at positions 28 to 435 of the family's 1533-position model. The record is from RNAcentral. Lineage: Bacteria; Bacillati; Actinomycetota; Actinomycetes; Micrococcales; Micrococcaceae.
GAUGAACGCUGGCGGCGUGCUUAACACAUGCAAGUCGAACGAUGAAGCCCAGCUUGCUGGGUGGAUUAGUGGCGAACGGGUGAGUAACACGUGAGUAACCUGCCCUUGACUCUGGGAUAAGCCCGGGAAACUGGGUCUAAUACCGGAUAGGAGCGCCUGCCGCAUGACGGGUGUUGGAAAGAUUUUUCGGUCAUGGAUGGACUCGCGGCCUAUCAGCUUGUUGGUGAGGUAAUGGCUCACCAAGGCGACGACGGGUAGCCGGCCUGAGAGGGUGACCGGCCACACUGGGACUGAGACACGGCCCAGACUCCUACGGGAGGCAGCAGUGGGGAAUAUUGCACAAUGGGCGGAAGCCUGAUGCAGCGACGCCGCGUGAGGGAUGACGGCCUUCGGGUUGUAAACCUCUU